RNAcentral lists this ribosomal RNA (309 nucleotides) under uncultured eukaryote. RNAcentral describes it as "partial 18S ribosomal RNA". It matches the Rfam family "Eukaryotic small subunit ribosomal RNA", at positions 1470 to 1796 of the family's 1831-position model. The record is from RNAcentral.
CCCUUAGAUGUUCUGGGCGGCCCGCGCACUACAUUGGCACUAGCAAAGAGAUCCUAGAUUGAAUUCUUUGGGGUAUUCUUCUAAAUGGUGUCGUGACUGGGAUAAAUCCUUGUAAUUAUUGGUUUUGAACGAGGAAUUCCUUGUAAUCGCGGUUUAUCAGCUCGCGUUGAAUGCGUCCCUGCCCUUUGUACACACCGCCCGUCGCUCCUACCGAUGGAUCGUCCGGUGAAGCUCACGGAGUGACUAUUCACGCAACGGUUUACGAAGUGAAAUGGACCUCACGAUUUAGAGGAAGGAGAAGUCGUAACA